Molecule: ribosomal RNA, 445 nt
Filed under: uncultured bacterium
Lineage: Bacteria
Description: partial 16S ribosomal RNA
Rfam family: Bacterial small subunit ribosomal RNA
Source: RNAcentral
GUGGGGAAUAUUGGUCAAUGGGCGCGAGCCUGAACCAGCCAAGUAGCGUGAGGGAUGACUGCCCUAUGGGUUGUAAACCUCUUUUGCAGGGGGGUAAAGUGGUUCACGUGUGGACCAUUGCAAGUACCCUGCGAAUAAGGAUCGGCUAACUCCGUGCCAGCAGCCGCGGUAAUACGGAGGAUCCGAGCGUUAUCCGGAUUUAUUGGGUUUAAAGGGAGCGUAGGCGGGGGUUUAAGUCAGCUGUGAAAUGCCGUGGCCCAACCAUGGAACUGCAGUUGAAACUGGACCUCUUGAGAGUACAUAAGGAAGGCGGAAUUCGUUGUGUAGCGGUGAAAUGCAUAGAUAUCACGAAGAACUCCGAUUGCGAAGGCAGCUUUCCGGGGUACAUCUGACGCUGAAGCUCGAAAGUGCGGGAAUCAAACAGGAUUAGAAACCCGGGUAGUCC